RNAcentral lists this ribosomal RNA (492 nucleotides) under uncultured bacterium. RNAcentral describes it as "partial 16S ribosomal RNA". It matches the Rfam family "Bacterial small subunit ribosomal RNA", at positions 29 to 507 of the family's 1533-position model. The record is from RNAcentral.
AGUGAACGCUGGCGGUAGGCCUAACACAUGCAAGUCGAACGGCAGCACAGUAAGAGCUUGCUCUUACGGGUGGCGAGUGGCGGACGGGUGAGGAAUACAUCGGAAUCUACUUUUUCGUGGGGGAUAACGUAGGGAAACUUACGCUAAUACCGCAUACGACCUACGGGUGAAAGCAGGGGAUCUUCGGACCUUGCGCGAUUGAAUGAGCCGAUGUCGGAUUAGCUAGUUGGCGGGGUAAAGGCCCACCAAGGCGACGAUCCGUAGCUGGUCUGAGAGGAUGAUCAGCCACACUGGAACUGAGACACGGUCCAGACUCCUACGGGAGGCAGCAGUGGGGAAUAUUGGACAAUUGGCGCAAGCCUGAUCCAGCCAUACCGCGUGGGUGAAGAAGGCCUUCGGGUUGUAAAGCCCUUUUGUUGGGAAAGAAAAGCAGCAGGUUAAUACCCCGCUGUUCCGACGGUACCCAAAGAAUAAGCACCGGCUAACUUCGUG